UGAGACAGCAGUGAGGUGAGACAGCAGUGAGGUGAGACAGCAGUGAGGCGAGACAGCAGUGAGGCGAGACAGCAGUGAGGCGAGACAGCAGUGAGGUGAGACAGAGGUGAGGCGAGACAGCAGUGAGGCGAGACAGCAGUGAGGGGAGACAGCAGUGAGGUGAGACAGCAGUGAGGCGAGACAGCAGUGAGGUGAGACAGAGGUGAGGCGAGACAGCAGUGAGGUGAGACAGCAGUGAGGUGAGACAGCAGUGAGGUGAGACAGCAGUGAGGUGAGACAGCAGUGAGGCGAGACAGCGGUGAGGUGAGACAGAGGUGAGGCGAGACAGCAGUGAGGUGAGACAGAGGUGGGCGAGACAGAGGUGAGGCGAGACAGCGGUGAGGUGAGACAGCAGUGAGGUGAGACAGAGGUGAGGCGAGACAGCAGUGAGGCGAGACAGCCGUGAGGUGAGACAGCCGUGAGGUGAAACAGCCGUGAGGUGAGACAGAGGUGAGGCGAGACAGCAGUGAGGCGAGACAGCCGUGAGGUGAGACAGCCGUGAGGUGAGACAGAGGUGAGGCGAGACAGCCGUGAGGUGAGACAGCCGUGAGGUGAGACAGCAGUGAGGUGAGACAGUGGUGAGGCGAGACAGCAGUGAGGUGAGACAGCAGUGAGGUGAGACAGCAGUGAGGUGAGACAGAGGUGAGGUGUGAGGCGAGACAGCAGUGAGGUGAGACAGUGGUGAGGCGAGACAGCAGUGAGGUGAGACAGCAGUGAGGUGAGACAGCAGUGAGGUGAGACAGAGGUGAGGCGAGACAGAGGUGAGGCGAGACAGCAGUGAGGUGAGACAGCGGUGAGGCGAGACAGCCGUGAGGUGAGACAGCCGUGAGGUGAGACAGCAGUGAGGCGAGACAGCAGUGAGGUGAGACAGCCGUGAGGUGAGACAGCGGUGAGGUGAGACAGAGGUGAGGUGUGAGGCGAGAGGGACAGAUGAAAAAACUCAGACUGUUUGCAGACGAUUGUGUGAUCUGCUUCCAGGAGGAAACCUGAAGGUCGGAUAAACGUUUGAUUCUCUUCACUUAGAACAGAAAUGAAUUCAUCAGAUUAACGUUAAAAGGCCCUGAUGUCCAAAAUCUGACAAAGGUAAACUGUUCAGAAACUUUCGUUUAGUUGCGGGUGUUUUUGUGGAGCCUGUCAGCGGUUCUGUCCGGGUCUCUGGUUCUGAACGGCUCGGUGGACAACAAUCCACUGAUCCAGAUUCAAGUGUUUCCCUGAAUCCUAACCAAGUUGAUCCAGACUCCAACAGUCCAGUCCUGUCCUCUCUGCUCAGUCUCUGCUCAGGAGACGGUUCCCAACGGCCGGGUCCAAACCGGACAGGAGCCCAGUCCCACAC
Molecule: long non-coding RNA, 1372 nt
Organism: Poeciliopsis prolifica (blackstripe livebearer)
Lineage: Eukaryota; Metazoa; Chordata; Actinopteri; Cyprinodontiformes; Poeciliidae
Exons: 3
Source: RefSeq, a predicted model, not a curated record